CUACUUCACAGAAAAGCUACUUAUAUAUUGUAAAUAAGUUGAACCUCAUUUGAGUGAAUGUUACCAUUCCUAUGUCAAUCUAGAAAGGAGAAUCAAGCAGACCAUUGUAAGGAUGUCUCUGAAAUCUAAUACAGGAGGUGACCUCAAUGACCCAGUGGUAAAGGAACAGAUGUUGGAGCAGAUAAGAAAGGAGUUUGUGAAGAAUGGUAACUUCAUCCAAGGCCUAAGUUGGAGAGAACUGCCGAAUGGAGAUGUUUUUCGCAAAACAGUUGAACUUGGAAGCCCUGAUGAAGGUAAGCACUUUUUGGUGCUACAGUUAUAAAAAUGACCCUACUUUUGUUUAGUCUUGUGCAGAGUCCCUUGUACAGUGUGUUUUUAGGUUUUGCAUCCCACUGACAGUUUGGAAAUGAAGUAAGGUGUUCAUGAACUAUUUCUUUGUACUGUUGUGUUUGUUUUCUUAGGUCAGUGUGGUUCUGGAUGAAGAGGACCAGUAAAGGCAAUGCAGAAGGAGAGGCAUGGAAGGUCCAAGGAAACCACAUUAUAUAUUAUAUACCUUAUAAUACGUAAUACAAUAUUAUUCUUGUUAAUGUCAUUCAAGUUAUGAUAGUUCGAUUUGUCGUAUGAAGGUAAAAUUAUGUAAUUUACAUUAGGAUUGAUUUAGACUUUACAAUGUUUGACUAAUAUAACACCAAAUUAUAAUCUAAGAUAUUUGUUGGUGUAUGAAUGUAAUGUAAUAAUGUUUGUUGUACAUCAGGGCAAUUUGGUUAGUGAAGAGAAGAGGAAUUUAAAGGACAUUUCUGGUUUUUCAAGUCUGUUGUUAAGGACAUUUCAGGCAGGGACUUGCAUUGUAAUGAGAAAAAGCAUAUUACACACAAUUAUGGAUGUGACUGUUGACAUUCUUCAAUAAAAGAUGUUUGAUUAGUGACAUCAGUAUUACCAUUAUUUUCACUCUCCAGCAAGAAUGGUGAGAUGGAGGCAGUAAUCACAACAGAGUUAUGUAGAAUUAUGUGCCAACAUGCAAGUGUCACGCCCUGGUCGAAGUAUUUUGUGUUUAUCUUCAUUUAUUUGGUCAGGCCAGGGUGUGGCAUGGGUUUUUGUAUGUGGUGUGUUGGGAUUGUAGCUUAGUGGGGUGUUCUAGUUAAGUCUAUGGCUGUCUGAAGUGGUUCUCAGAGGCAGGUGUUUAUCGUUGUCUCUGAUUGGGAACCAUAUUUAGGCAGCCAUAUUCUUUGAGUGUUUUGUGGGUGAUUGUCCUUUGUGUCCUGAUUCUGUGUUUAUGUGCACCAGUAUUAGGCUGUUUCAGUUUUUGUUACGUUUAUUGUUUUGUAGUGUUUGUAUUUAGAUUCGUGUUGCUUCAGUUUAAUAAACAUGGAUCGCAAUCUACACGCCGCAUUUUGGUCCGACUCUCUUUCAACCGAAGAAAGCCGUUACAGCAAGCAGUAACCUUCAGGGAACAGUACAUACAGAGACACACACAGACAGACAGACUGUUGUGGGUGUGACAGAAUGGCAGUAUCCAUGUCAUGAAGCUAAUCAACAUUUGUAUAUCAUUAGAGUUUUCCCUGGUGUCAUGGUGUGUUGUGGCAGCUAUUACAGUCAAACACAGGCUCAUGGAUAGCAGGGGAGGAGUGUGGGGGUCUUGUCCUUAUUCGUGUAGUUGAUGGCUGUUAUACAUGAAUCAACUUGAUAAAAGAAGCCAUGUAGGCCUAGUUAUUUAGAAAAUGGUUUUAUCCAAAUUGACAUAGACCAGGAAGUAAAACCACAUCCAAACUACUUCUACCGUAGCACUAAACUCCAACCAACUAAGCUACAACGUGUUCAUACCAGUAACUAUGGGCUCUUGUAUAUCCAGAAUUACAUUGCACUUUAUUUACAAAAUUGGGGAUUAGGCUGCCAUAACCCUGCAGGUACCACAUGAAAACAAACCUUAAUUGAAACUUUAUAAACUCACCUCUCUUUCCCCGGUCUCCCCAUCUCACAACCAAACUCUGGGGAGGGAAGAGGACAGCUAACUGGGUAGGUGUGACAUCAUUUCAAGCUGCAUUAAACAUCUUGGAUCAAUUGAAAACAUCAAAUGAAGAAAAACCUGGUCACAAAAACCACAGAAAAGUAUUAAUCCGCCAGUCUCUGAAUUGUUUAUUGCAAGCAAAAAUAGUUAACGGUGGGGUUGCAGUACCUACAACUUCCACUCGAUGUCGCCAGUACUGGCAUUUUCAUUUGUUUAAAUUCUUGGUGAAAUGACAAAUAGGCCCUUCCUGUCAUCCAGUAAACAGGAAGAGACUUAUGGGAGAGAGACAAAGGACCAUGAUUUCAAGAGUAGCUGCAAUUGAAUACAGAUCGCCCAGUGAUCAAUUUGAUCGAUUAUUAACGUUUACAAAUACCUAAAGUUGGGUUACAAACGUAGUUUGAAGUGUUUUGUAAAAGUUUAUAGGCAACUUUUUUAAUAAAAAAAAAUGACGUUGCG
Long non-coding RNA from Oncorhynchus mykiss (rainbow trout), 2461 nucleotides. Lineage: Eukaryota; Metazoa; Chordata; Actinopteri; Salmoniformes; Salmonidae. The record is from Ensembl.